This 449-nucleotide ribosomal RNA is filed under the name uncultured bacterium. RNAcentral describes it as "SSU rRNA". It matches the Rfam family "Bacterial small subunit ribosomal RNA", at positions 26 to 518 of the family's 1533-position model. The record is from RNAcentral.
AGAGCGAACGCUGGCGGCAGGCUUAACACAUGCAAGUCGAGCGGGCGUAGCAAUACGUCAGCGGCAGACGGGUGAGUAACGCGUGGGAACAUACCUUUUGGUUCGGAACAACACAGGGAAACUUGUGCUAAUACCGGAUAAGCCCUUACGGGGAAAGAUUUAUCGCCGAAAGAUUGGCCCGCGUCUGAUUAGCUAGUUGGUGAGGUAAUGGCUCACCAAGGCGACGAUCAGUAGCUGGUCUGAGAGGAUGAUCAGCCACAUUGGGACUGAGACACGGCCCAAAACUCCUACGGGAGGCAGCAGUGGGGAAUAUUGGACAAUGGGCGCAAGCCUGAUCCAGCCAUGCCGCGUGAGUGAUGAAGGCCCUAGGGUUGUAAAGUCUCUUUUGUGCGGGAAGAUAAUGACGGUACCGCAAGAAUAAGCCCGGCUAACUUCGUGCCAGCAGCCGC